UCGUCAGGAAGAACUUAUAAGAGAAUAAAACUCUCACUAGAACAAUCUAGAAGUGAAGAAACUCUCACUAAAACAUUUUAGGAGAGAAAAUUAUUCAUUAGAAAAUCUUAGAAGAGAAUUUAUUCAAAUAAAAGAAAUUAAAAACUAUAAAAAGUACUUCCCAGAUUUGGUCUCUCUCCCACGAGAGAGAUGAAAAAGAUCUUCGUGCGAGCACGAUGCAGGCAGAACCGGUGUUGAUGGUAGUGGUGGUGGGAUUACCGGGGCCAGUUCAGGUGCCUUGGGAGGUUCUUCGGGCCCCGGAAUCUUCAGCCUUUCAACUACUCUUAUGUGGUUUUUGGCUUGUUUUGGUUUCUCAGCCAGAGCCACUGGGGGCUGCUCGUGCUCUUUAGGCUUCUUCGGCGGCUCGGGCUUCCUGGGCUUCUCAGGCUUCUCGGACUUCUCAUUUACUGGGUCCUUUUGGUUUUUCAACCACAACCACUGGGGGCUUAGGUUCCUUGGGCGGCUUAGGUUCCUGCUUAGGUGUCUCGGGCGGCUUGGUGGAUAGCGCCAUGAUCUUAAUGCUCUUAAUGACUUUGCCACCCUUGCAACAUAAUUUGUCUACGGAUUUCUACAGGUGCUACAGCACACCACGGUGAUGGUCACCAGAUUUUGCUUCUCAUCAUCUACCUGGUCCCUGAUUUCUCUUGUCAAAAAAAAAAAGAAGAAAAACUCAAAAUUUUUUCUUUUUUUUUUUUUGUGGAGGGUGGGGGAGAGGAAGAGUAGAGGAGUGGGGAAGGGAUGUAGGCAGCAAUAUACUAAACUGAUGCUAGUAAAUGGUUGAAGAAUUAGACAGUAGGACGCAAUUGGGUAGAAAAAAUUGUGAGGACUUUAUGUAGAAAGAUAGCAACCGGGCAGCAUGCAGUACUAACUACAAGUAUGGAAGGAAGGAGGGUGGAAAUGAAAUGAAAGGGGGCGUUGAAUUUUAAUGUGAGUUGUGCGGAGCAGUGACAGUUUAUCCUCCCCUCCAUCAACAUCCAUACUCCGUUGCUGCCUUUGAAUUGAUAAGCCCACCUCACCUUCCAAAAUAUAUUUAUAUUACCUCAUCAUUCACGUAUUCAUAAUCCCCACAAAAGCACGACUUAAGCAAAUUUUGAGAUUUGAGAGCCGGCACCACCUACCGCGUCGUUUUCCUUCAUCCAACUCCAAUCGAGAGAGAGAGAGACAGAGAGAUCAGACUUCACCAGUACUGCAAAUAGAAGGACUUCAACUUGAGGGACUUGCAAGUUAUAGUAUUAUGUCACACUAAUCGCAAGUCC
This 1295-nucleotide long non-coding RNA is filed under the name Coffea arabica (coffee). RNAcentral describes it as "long non-coding RNA (CARA_LNC006261)". Lineage: Eukaryota; Viridiplantae; Streptophyta; Magnoliopsida; Gentianales; Rubiaceae. The record is from RNAcentral.